Molecule: long non-coding RNA, 992 nt
Organism: Eptesicus fuscus (big brown bat)
Lineage: Eukaryota; Metazoa; Chordata; Mammalia; Chiroptera; Vespertilionidae
Exons: 6
Source: RefSeq, a predicted model, not a curated record
GAAAGAGUAUCUGGCAAUACUUGACUUGUAUGAGGUAGGUUCAUAUGCAGGUCACCAGGUAGAGCAGCCAGUCUUUUCUUUCUCUUCCGGCAUCCUUGGGGGCUGCUGUUAACCCCCUCCUCUUUGAUCAGGCCCAGAGAUAGGCCUGGAGAUGAUGACUGGCAUAGGAACCAACCAAUGAGAACCAAAGAAAUCUGAUAGCUGCUACUGUACCCAAAAGCUGGCGUGCUGUGGAUGUGCCUCCAGUUGCAGGAAUGGUUUUAGCUGUGAGAACUUCUCCAGACAACCUGUUUUCUCUAUUUGCAUGAAGAAAAGAGAGAGCAAACACAAGAAUUUCUCCAGUGCAGUACUGACUUCCUCUGAGGCCCCAGAGAAGCCAUUCCAACACUCUUCCUUCGUUCCUCCAGCUGUAAAAUGGAACUAACAUGACUAAUAAUGUGUUUCACAAGGCCCUAAAACAAAGUAUCUGUGCCUGACUUUCAAGGCUGGGAGAAGAAAGAGGUAACAUAUGCUGAGCUGCUUUAAGCUUUGCGGUCAAAACGCCAGAGAAUAUUAUUCUGCAGAUUUGAAAACGGAGUCCCAGGGAAGCAAAAGGACUUGCCGGAAAUCCUGUGACAGGGGAGCAUCAGGGGCAACGCUCAGGGCCCCGGACCUCACCCAGAAAUAGUAAAACAUCUGAUCACCACUCUUCCCAUACUUGUCCAUCAAUGUCAAGACCAUUCAGCCAUCUCUGGUGGAGAAAAGGAAGAGAUAACGAUUUCAUGGGUGCAUUUACAAAAGGCACUUAAACAAAAAUGGACAACAAAUUUAUAUAGCCUCAGGAAGAAGAUGGCUGGCACACUGCCCUUGGCAGACCCUCUGGAAAUAUUUUGACAAGAUUUUCAUACCUGGCAAAGUUUAUGAAACUUUUCUUUCUUAAAAGUCCUUCCCUUCAAUUUUGUCUGUAUCUCAAAAGCAGAGCUUUCUAAAACCUACUGUCUUCUGGGAAUGAA